This 1284-nucleotide ribosomal RNA is filed under the name Triticum aestivum (bread wheat). RNAcentral describes it as "partial small subunit ribosomal RNA". The record is from RNAcentral. Lineage: Eukaryota; Viridiplantae; Streptophyta; Magnoliopsida; Poales; Poaceae.
AUGGGACCCGCAGGCCGGCUGUCCGUGGCGGCCGCUCUCCUCUCCUGCCUAUGUUUACAUGGGCUGUUGGGGAAUUCCGGGCAGGCAUUUGCUCAGGGCCCGCCGGUGCUCCACCGGAUCGACCACGCCGAGGAAGAUGACGACAGCGGCGGCCUCAUGCCGGAGCUCUCGCCCACCGGCUCCCCCCAGCCCUUCGUCCCCUUCCUCGCGCCUGCCCCUCUCGCGCCCUUCUACAACAACUCUACGCCCAAGUUGUCAGGCAAAUGCUCACUGAACUUCACUGCCAUCAAUGGCCUGAUGACCACCACGGCCGUCGAUUGCUUCGCCUCAUUCGCUCCGUUCCUCGCCAAUGUCAUCUGCUGUCCCCAGCUCCAGGCCACUCUCACCAUCCUCAUAGGACAGUCCAGCAAGCAGACGGGGUCCCUCGCUUUGGAUCCCACUCUUGCCAACUACUGUCUCUCUGACGUCCAGCAGCUGCUCAUGAGCCAGGGCGCGAGUGAUGAUCUCCGCAGCAUUUGCUCCGUCCACCUCUCCAAUGCCACCGAGGGGUCGUGCCCCGUUAGCACCGUUGAUGCGUUUGAGAGCGUCGUCGACUCAUCAAAGCUCCUCGAGGCCUGCCGGAAGGUCGAUCCUGUUAACGAGUGCUGCAGCCAGACAUGCCAGAGUGCUAUAAGUGAUGCUGCCCGCAAAAUCUCUUCCAAGGACGCUGCGUUGACAAGCGACACUGCCAGUCCCAAAGUUGACAGUUGCAGGAACGUUGUACUUAGAUGGUUAUCCAGCAGGCUUGAGCCAUCAUCCGCAACCAAAAUGCUCAGGCAGAUAUCAAACUGUAAUGUCAAUGGAGUUUGCCCACUAAGCUUCCCAGACACAAGUAAGGUUGCAAAGGAGUGUGGUGGUACAGUUAAAAACAUUACUGUAUGCUGCAAGGCGAUGGACAGUUACGUAUCUCACUUGCAAAAGCAAAGUUUCAUAACAAAUUUGCAAGCUUUGAAUUGUGCCUCAGUCCUUGGGGCAAAAUUACAAGAUAUGAAGGUCAGCACAAAUGUUUAUAGCUCAUGCCAAGUAACAUUGAAGGAUUUCUCACUUCAAGUUGGAUCUCAAGAAUCUGGAUGCCUUCUUCCAACAUCGGCUUCGACAUGCAAUAAAUCGGCUGCUCCUGGACCUAUAAUCCCAGAGAGGCCUGCAGCAACAUCGGCGCAAAACGGUGUCAACCACAACAGACUGGAGCUUAGCCUAGCCGUCUGCUUUGGCGCCCUUGUGGCCACUAUUUUACUGCAAGUCUAG